This 612-nucleotide ribosomal RNA is filed under the name Bacillus velezensis. Its description in RNAcentral is "bacterial SSU rRNA". It matches the Rfam family "Bacterial small subunit ribosomal RNA", at positions 213 to 816 of the family's 1533-position model. Lineage: Bacteria; Bacillati; Bacillota; Bacilli; Caryophanales; Bacillaceae. The record is from RNAcentral.
UACCACUUACAGAUGGACCCGCGGCGCAUUAGCUAGUUGGUGAGGUAACGGCUCACCAAGGCAACGAUGCGUAGCCGACCUGAGAGGGUGAUCGGCCACACUGGGACUGAGACACGGCCCAGACUCCUACGGGAGGCAGCAGUAGGGAAUCUUCCGCAAUGGACGAAAGUCUGACGGAGCAACGCCGCGUGAGUGAUGAAGGUUUUCGGAUCGUAAAGCUCUGUUGUUAGGGAAGAACAAGUACCGUUCGAAUAGGGCGGUACCUUGACGGUACCUAACCAGAAAGCCACGGCUAACUACGUGCCAGCAGCCGCGGUAAUACGUAGGUGGCAAGCGUUGUCCGGAAUUAUUGGGCGUAAAGGGCUCGCAGGCGGUUUCUUAAGUCUGAUGUGAAAGCCCCCGGCUCAACCGGGGAGGGUCAUUGGAAACUGGGGAACUUGAGUGCAGAAGAGGAGAGUGGAAUUCCACGUGUAGCGGUGAAAUGCGUAGAGAUGUGGAGGAACACCAGUGGCGAAGGCGACUCUCUGGUCUGUAACUGACGCUGAGGAGCGAAAGCGUGGGGAGCGAACAGGAUUAGAUACCCUGGUAGUCCACGCCGUAAACGAUGAGUGC